ACACAGAGGAACAACAAAAUAUCAGGUUUGCGUUUUAACUGAGUACCCAAAUCAGACUCGACGGACAGUGAAAAGACAGGAACUGACACAAGUGGUAAAAAAGAUCCUGAGGUCGAGGCUGGCAUGGAGGGGAAGGUUGAAGAAGAGUUCCAGGUAGGUGAGAUUUGUGAGGUCUUGGUUGUUCUUGUAGGUGGUAGUGCACGAGAGAGGCAGGGCGGAGAUGUGAGGAGGAUUCACAGAGAAAUCCAGUUCCCAGAUAAGCUCACAGCUUUCAACGAGGGAGGAACCAGAGAAAACUCCUCAGAGGGUUUCACAGGGGUUUGAACCGGAGGUGACUGAAUAUUCCAGCAUCGGAUGGAUCUCAGCCAGCAGCUUAAAUGGUGUCAGAGUCUCAUCAGCAGAACACUGUGCAGGUGAGUCCAUCCCAGUCUCCGCCCACAUGCCAAUC
Molecule: long non-coding RNA, 448 nt
Organism: Austrofundulus limnaeus
Lineage: Eukaryota; Metazoa; Chordata; Actinopteri; Cyprinodontiformes; Rivulidae
Exons: 2
Source: RefSeq, a predicted model, not a curated record